RNAcentral lists this ribosomal RNA (464 nucleotides) under uncultured bacterium. RNAcentral's name for it is "bacterial SSU rRNA". It matches the Rfam family "Bacterial small subunit ribosomal RNA", at positions 30 to 493 of the family's 1533-position model. The record is from RNAcentral.
AUUGAACGCUGGCGGCAUGCCUUACACAUGCAAGUCGAACGGCAGCACGGGUGCUUGCACCUGGUGGCGAGUGGCGAACGGGUGAGUAAUAUAUCGGAACGUACCUUAUCGUGGGGGAUAACGCAGCGAAAGCUGCGCUAAUACCGCAUACGCCCUGAGGGGGAAAGCGGGGGACCGUAAGGCCUCGCGCGAUUAGAGCGGCCGAUAUCUGAUUAGCUUGUUGGUGGGGUAAAGCCCACCAAGGCGACGAUCAGUAGCUGGUCUGAGAGGACGAUCAGCCACACUGGGACUGAGACACGGCCCAGACUCCUACGGGAGGCAGCAGUGGGGAAUUUUGGACAAUGGGGGCAACCCUGAUCCAGCAAUGCCGCGUGAGUGAAGAAGGCCUCGGUUGUAAGACUCUUUGUCUAGGAGAACAGCAGCGUCUAACACAGUCUGCGAAUGACGGUACCUCGAAGAAGUAA